RNAcentral lists this ribosomal RNA (427 nucleotides) under uncultured bacterium. RNAcentral describes it as "bacterial SSU rRNA". It matches the Rfam family "Bacterial small subunit ribosomal RNA", at positions 355 to 774 of the family's 1533-position model. The record is from RNAcentral.
UGGGGAAUUUUGGACAAUGGGCGCAAGCCUGAUCCAGCAAUGCCGCGUGCAGGAUGAAGGCCUUCGGGUUGUAAACUGCUUUUGUACGGAACGAAAAAGCUCUCUCUAAUACAGGGGGUGAAUGACGGUACCGUAAGAAUAAGCACCGGCUAACUACGUGCCAGCAGCCGCGGUAAUACGUAGGGUGCAAGCGUUAAUCGGAAUUACUGGGCGUAAAGCGUGCGCAGGCGGUUUUGUAAGACAGAGGUGAAAUCCCCGGGCUCAACCUGGGAACUGCCUUUGUGACUGCAAAGCUUGAGUGCGGCAGAGGGGGAUGGAAUUCCGCGUGCAGCAGUGGAAUGCGUAGAUAUGCGGAGGAACACCGAUGGCGAAGGCAAUCCCCUGGGCCUGCACUGACGCUCAUGCACGAAAGCGUGGGGAGCAAACA